This 252-nucleotide ribosomal RNA is filed under the name uncultured bacterium. RNAcentral describes it as "partial 16S ribosomal RNA". It matches the Rfam family "Bacterial small subunit ribosomal RNA", at positions 524 to 776 of the family's 1533-position model. The record is from RNAcentral.
UACGGAGGAUGCGAGCGUUAUCCGGAUUUAUUGGGUUUAAAGGGUGCGUAGGCGGUCCGUUAAGUCAGCGGUAAAAUUGCGGGGCUCAACCCCGUCGAGCCGUUGAAACUGGCAGAUUUGAGUUGGCGAGAAGUACGCGGAAUGCGCGGUGUAGCGGUGAAAUGCAUAGAUAUCGCGCAGAACUCCGAUUGCGAAGGCAGCGUACCGGCGCCACACUGACGCUGAGGCACGAAAGCGUGGGGAUCGAACAGG